AUGAGCUGCGCCCUUGGGUGUGGUGACGCCGGGAGGUGCGGGCGCGGUUCACCUGCAGUAGACGGCGGAGGCGGAGGAGCCUGCAGACGCGAUGCUCAGCCCUGUAGGCCGAGGAAGGACAACCCGGGGGAUCCCAGCUCCAGGGGACAAUCGGGGCAACUUCGUAGGGGUCGGAGGUGUGCGGCGGGCGCAGAACCGCGGAUCCACCUGCUUCGCCGCCCCCCACGGUCCCCCCAACUAUCCCCCCCCCCGGCUCUGCGGGCCUCGGUGGUCACCUUGCCGCAGUGGCCUCCCGGCGGACCCCGCGGACCCCCGCCUGCUGACCCCACACCCCGAGCAAAGCCCCGCGAGGACCUGGGCCGUGGUUUCGGAUGCAGUCGGCUGCGUGGAGGGAGCGCUGCGCCCGGUGGCCCAGAUCACCAUGUCCGUCUACACCGUGGCAGCUCUCCCAGGUCCUUGGGGCUGCAGCCGGGACAGCACCACUGCCUGUUCCGCCCUUGCCCCUUGGCCCUCUCCCAGCCUGCCCACCGCCACCCUUCCCGCUCACGGUGCACAGACAGUCCCGCUCCUGGGGGUCCACAUCUGACCUGACUUCAUUUUUCUUGAAAAGCGUUGAGCUGCUCACCCCAGUGACAUCAGCUCGCUUCCCCACUGGGCCUCGAAGCCAGUUCCCUGCCUCCCCGGCCCCAGGCCUCGCCCCCUCCCAGACCCCAGCAGGGGACAGGCACACUGGAGGGCCACUGCCUAAGGCCCAGGACCUGUGCCCAAGUCCCAGCUCUGACACCAAAUAAUUGUGUUACCUUGGACAUGUCGCACAGCCUUCCUCAGCCCCAAUUUCCCCAAAUGUAAAAUGGGAAUAAGAACCUACUUUAUCACAUGCUGUGUUGCUUAGAUAAUGUGUGAGAAAGCGCGUUGUGGGCUGUAAGGCUGUCUCCUGCUGUAGAUCCAAAUAAGAAAGAUAAAUGUUACUCAGAUGCUGGAGACAGUGAUUGCCUUUCCAAAGCAAAAUUAAAAAAAAAAAAAAAAUAUAUAUAUAUAUAUAUAUAUGUAUGUAUAUAAAACGAGUUUUUCCUCUUAGCUGCAGUGUCAGCUGCAUUAGAAUUAGACUGGAAAAAAAAAGAAUUAGACUGGAUUCUAAUCCAUUAGACUGGAUUCUAAUUAUUCCUUUUGGAUCAGUUACCAGGUAAUAUUACAGGUAGUAGUGAAAGAACUCACAAUCCCACCUGAUCCUGGAGUCCGGGAUCGAGUCCCGUGUCGGGCUCCCUGCAUGGAGCCUGCUUCUCCCUCUGCCUGUGACUCUGCCUCUCUCUCUAUAUAUAUCUCUCAUUAAUAAAUAAAAUCUUAAAAAUAAAUAAAAUUCUUAAAAAAGAAAAAAAAAAGGAACUCACAAUCCCAAGAUCAAGAGUCACAUGCUCCACUGACCCAGCCAGCCUGGCGUCCCUAUAACAUAAAAGGUUUUUUGUUGUUUUUCUUUUUUUUUUUUUUUAAGCUGCAUGCUCAGUAGUGUAUGUGCAGAGAGAUGUGAGAGGGGAAGGGACUUUUCCAGCGCUCUUCAUAGCUUGUUAUUAGGCCUGCACACAGGGCACCUGGGGCCAGAGAACUCGGGACACAUUCCAGGGCCUGACUCUUACACAAAUAGCUCGGCCCUUGCGUCCCGAGAGUAGGGGAUUCAGGACGGAGGAACCAGAAGGUUGGUGCCUCCGGGGAGCCGCAGCCUGCCCCAGAUCCGGGUCUGCCUCCAUGUCCCUGUGGCCUCAUGUUCCAAGGUUUUCUGCACCAUUUCUCCCACCUGGACUUGGGCUUUAGAGAACGAGAGCCUCCAGGGCCUGCGUGGACGAGUCCCAGGCGGCUUAGAGGAAGGCCCGCCCGCCCGCCGGCAAGAGGCUCCGGGCACAGACACAGGAACUAAGCGCCCAGAUGAGGGGCCUGGGCCACGGAGGGGGCACGAGGAGCCAUCGCGGAGCUGGGGAGCUGCGGGGCUGCGGAGGGCAGCGCGAGGGCUGGCCGGGGCCCUGCUGAGAGUCCGGGCUUGCGCGCUGCUCUCCGCCCAGUACCUGCCGGUUCACAUCCCAGGUUCAGACCCGCGGCCCCGAGGGCAGGAGCCCCGCGGUCCGCCCCCUGCGCAGCCGGGCGCCUCGUGCCUGCAGAGCUGCAGCAAGUCCCGUGGACCGUCCGCGGGUGGGAGGCGCUUGGAAUGAGGGGGGUCCGGUGCCCGCACACCACCAGCACCCGGCCCAUCAGCAGGCCCACCUGUUUACGUAGAAUACAUCCGGCGUCUGACCCCCUCUUGCCACCUCCUCGGCUGUCAUUCCGGUCCCAGCCACUGCCUUCUACCUGGAUUUUUUUUUAAGAUUUUAUUUAUUUAUUCAUGAGAGACACACACAUACAGAGAGGCAGAGACACAGGCAGAGGGAGAAGCAGGCUCCAUGCAGGGAGCCCGACGUGGGACUCGAUCCCGGGACUCCAGGAUGGUGCCCUGGGCCAAAGGCAGGUGCUCAACCGCUGAGCCCCCCAGGUGUCCCUUUGUGUGCGUGUGGGAUUUGGUUUAUUUGAGAGCGAGCAGCAGGGGCGGAGCAGAGGGAGAGGGAGAGAGAAUUUCCAGCCGACUCCAUGCUGAGUGCAGAGCCUGAUGCACGGCUUGAUCCCCGGACCCAUGAGAUCAUGACCUGAGCCCAAACCACAAGAGUCGAAUGCUCAAGCACCUGAGCCCCCCGGGGAGCCUGUGCCUGGAUUAUGGCUGCAGCCUCCCGCCUCGCCCCCAGCUUCUGUCUUCAGGCCCUACACCGACUCUCAAGUCCCUUCUCUACACUGCACUUCCCAGAGUGAUCCUUUAAAAGCAUAAAUUAGGUCACAUCUCUUCUCUACCCCAAAUCCCCCCGUGGCUCCCCAUCCUGAUCAGCGUAAAAGGCAAAUCCUUAGAGUGGUCCCAAUGCCCUGCGUGACCUGAUGUCCUUGACCCUGCCCCUGCUCUCCCAGGCUCACCAGACUGCAACCGUACUGCCACUCUGCUGCUCCUCAAACACACCAAGCAUGUAGCUGCCUCAGGGCCUUUGCUCUUGAUGUCCCUCCACCCUCCGCCCUUGGCAGUCCUCACUUUUCCUUCCGGUCUUUGAGAAAUGACCACUCGUCAGAGGGGUCUUUCCUGACAGCCCUAAAUAAACCUGCACAGUUCCCCUAUGUCCCACAUUCGCUGUACCCUCUUACCUGCUUUACUUCUCCCCAGGACCCUUCUCCCCACCACCCGUAUCUGUCAUCCUGUGCCCCUCCUGCCAGAUUUAAAACCUCACAAAAUCUCUCUUGAAAACAGCUUUUCCAGGUCUGUCUCAACCUGUCUGUGCAUAUUCACCAGUCCCAUUGCCUGCCCUUCCCCCCCAGCCCGCGUCCCCCAAACCCCUCCAUCUCCGGCCACUCCCCACGAGCUCCCCAGGAGCCCCGCUCAGGCCAGGCCGGACUUUGCCGGCUGCCCGGGCUGCCCUGCUCGUUUAUCCCUCAUGCUUCUUGCACAAAGGAGGUCGCAAGGUCCCUGGUGUCGGGCAGUUGCGAUGGUUCCCAAGUGUUUACUGUUGCAGGCGCCCGGGCGUGCCCACGGCAGCUUCCUUCAGAUAAGUUAUUUGAAGAGGAACUACUGAGCCAAAGGGUGUGUGAUUUUCUAGGCUCCCGAUGAGUGUUGCCAACUUUUCCUCCUGUUUAUCUAAUUAUAGUCCCCUCAGCUAGUGUGUGAUGCCCUUUGUCUUUUUUUACAUCCUUAGCAAAACUGGGGAUUUAAAAAACACUGGGAGGUGAAAAAGUUACAUCUUGUCUUAAUUGACAUCGGUGAAGUUGGACAUUUUUUUUUGUUUCCCUCUUUUGUUAAUUCAUAAUUAAUUUCCCUUUAAAAAAUGUUUUCCUCUGUCCUUUUCUAUCGGGAUGUUAGGUUUUUACUCCUGAUUUAUAAUCCUUAUUUUUAUAUUAAGAGUAUUUAUGGGGGGCACCUGGGUAGCUCAGUCGGUUGGGCAUCCGACUCUUGAUCUUGGCUCAGGUCAUGAUCUCGGGGUCAAGAGAUCGUGCUCUGUGCUCAGUGGGGAGUCUGCUUGAGAUUCUCUCUUUCUGUCUCCCUCUGCCCCUCCCUUGCAAAAAAAGAAUAUUUAUGGGACACCUGGCUGGUUCAGCUGGUGGCACAUGCAGCUCUUGAUCUUGGGCUUGGGAGUGUGAGCCCCAUGUUGGGUGUAGAAAUAACUUAAAAAAAUAAUGAUUAAAAAAAUAAUAAAAUAAUGAAAAACCAAAUUCACUAUUUGAAAUGUCUGUGGGGGGAUCCCUGGGUGGCGCAGCGGUUUGGCGCCUGCCUUUGGCCCAGGGCGCGAUCCUGGAGACCCGGGAUCGAAUCCCACGUCAGGCUCCUGGUGCAUGGAGCCUGCUUCUCCCUCUGCCUAGUCUCUGCCUCUCUCUCUCUCUCUCUCUCUCUCUCUGUGACUAUCAUAAAUAAAAAAUAAAUAAAAAAAAAAAGAAA
This 4486-nucleotide long non-coding RNA is filed under the name Canis lupus familiaris (dog). RNAcentral's name for it is "lncRNA (ENSCAFG00845027211.1)". The record is from RNAcentral. Lineage: Eukaryota; Metazoa; Chordata; Mammalia; Carnivora; Canidae.